This is a long non-coding RNA of Homo sapiens (human), 424 nucleotides long. NCBI's taxonomy places the organism in Eukaryota, Metazoa, Chordata, Mammalia, Primates, Hominidae. The record is from Ensembl.
GUGUCCUGUCCAUGGCUGCAGUCAUUGGCCCCAUCUCCCACUGAUGUUCUCUGAAGCCAUGAGGAAGCAGUGGGACUGCAAACAUCCCAGCGCUGUUUUUAGUAAUCUAAUGUUUGCCUGUACUCAUUUCAUCUUUAUCUCACCUGAGCUUUCGAGAUAAUAAUUUUAUCUCAGAGAGAGAUUGAAGUCCAUUCUCUACAAACUUUGAAACAAAAUUAUAUUGUUAGGUUUAAGAAAUAUGAUAUACAAUAAAGAGGAAGAUGAUAGAAUUGUUUUGGAGGAUUUUGCCUAGGCUACUCUGUUAUUAAUGUGGCUGAUAUAUUAAAUCGAUAAGAACUGAUAACAAAAGUAAUGUUCAUAAAAUAAACUUGGCUAAGCAUAAAAAAUGUAAAAGAAAUUAAUAAAGCAAUUCUGUAGAAGAUAA